This 495-nucleotide non-coding RNA is filed under the name Cricetulus griseus (Chinese hamster). RNAcentral describes it as "Eukaryotic small subunit ribosomal RNA". It matches the Rfam family "Eukaryotic small subunit ribosomal RNA", at positions 626 to 1072 of the family's 1831-position model. Lineage: Eukaryota; Metazoa; Chordata; Mammalia; Rodentia; Cricetidae. The record is from Rfam by way of RNAcentral.
UCUUGUAAUUCAAACCACUUUCCUGUGGAGCAUCAAAACUCUUGUUUCUCUGUGUUAAGCACACAGAAUAAAGAAUCAGGAUGAUGCCCCACAACAUUUGCCUAUGUAUUAGAAAGCCAUGCUGAGGUACAUGGAAGGAAAUCGUGAUCUAUCUGGCCCCAAGGAUGGAAAAAGAGAUAAAAUGGAAAUACAAACUGUGAGCAGUUUCUGCUCUGAACUGUAAACAUCAAUUCGGAAUUUUUGACAGAUGGAGUGGCUCUAUUUUGUUGGUUUUUGGAACUGAGGUCAAAAUUAAGAAGGGUGUUUGGGGGCAUUCAUAUUGUGCCAAUAAAGGUGCAAUUCUUGGACCAGUGCAAGACAGACCAGAGGGAAAGCAUUUGUCAAGAAUAUUUUCAUUAAUCAAGAAAGAAAGUCGGAAGUUCCAAGAUGAUCAGAUACCAUCAACUUUUCCACCACAAACAAUGCCAACUGGAGAUGCAGUGGUUUUAUUCCCAU